CAGCCGCCGCGGUAAUACCGGCGGCCCGAGUGGCGGUCACUAUUAUUGGGCUUAAAGCGUCCGUAGCCGGGUUGGGAAGUCCUCCGGGAAAUCUGGCCGCUUAACGGUCAGAAUGCCGGAGGAUACUCCCAGCCUAGGGAGCGGGAGAGGCCGAGGGUAUUCCCGGAGUUGGGGUGAAAUCCUAUAAUCCCGGGAGGACCACCUGUGGCGAAGGCGCUCGGCUGGAACGCGUCCGACGGUGAGGGACGAAGGCCAGGGGAGCAAACCGGAUUAGAUACCCGGGUAGUCCUGGCUGUAAACGAUGCGGACUUUGUGUCGGACAAGCUAUGAGCUUGUCCGGUGCCGGAGGGAAACCGUUAAGUCCGCCGCCUGGGGAGUACGGCCGCAAGGCUGAAACUUAAAGGAAUUGGCGGG
This 414-nucleotide ribosomal RNA is filed under the name uncultured microorganism. Its description in RNAcentral is "bacterial SSU rRNA". It matches the Rfam family "Archaeal small subunit ribosomal RNA", at positions 459 to 872 of the family's 1478-position model. The record is from RNAcentral.